GCGGCCGGCGCGGCGGCGCCCGCUGAGCCGUGCGGGCACGGCACGGCACAGCCUCGGGUAGGACGGCACGGCACGGCACGGCACAGCAUAGGGUAGGACGGCACGGCACGGCAGAGCGGCUGACUACUUGAAGGUGGCAGGUCUGGGUCUUCUCAUCCCGUGCCUCUCGCAAAAUAAAAGGAAGGGGAAAGAUAUCACUGGUGUGUCUCUGAUAAGGUCUGAGAAAACCUAG
This 232-nucleotide long non-coding RNA is filed under the name Chloebia gouldiae (Gouldian finch). RNAcentral describes it as "Erythrura gouldiae (Gouldian finch) lncRNA (ENSEGOG00005014381.1)". The record is from RNAcentral. Lineage: Eukaryota; Metazoa; Chordata; Aves; Passeriformes; Passeridae.